This 1927-nucleotide long non-coding RNA is filed under the name Sus scrofa (pig). RNAcentral describes it as "lncRNA (ENSSSCG00000046841.2)". The record is from RNAcentral. Lineage: Eukaryota; Metazoa; Chordata; Mammalia; Artiodactyla; Suidae.
GGCAUAUGGAAGUUCCCAGCCCAGGGAUUGAAUGAGACACAGCUGCAACCUAUGCCACAGCUGCAGCAAUGUCAGAUCUUUCUAACCCACUGCACCAGGCUGGGGAUCAAACCCAUACCUCUGCAAGUGACUCAGGAGACUAAGUCAGAUUCUUAACCCCCUGUGGCAUGGUCGGAUGCCCAUUUAGUUCUUCUUUAGAUCUUCUAUUUCUUUGCUAAAGCUUUCUGGUUUUUUCAGUUACUUCAAGCAUAUGCAUAAUUUUUGUUAGGGCAUUUUUAUUAUGGCUGCUUUAAAAUAGUUUUCAGGUUAUCCUGACAUCUCUGUCCUUUAGACGGUAGCAGCUACGGAUGGUCUUUUUUCAUUCAGUUUGAGAUCUUCUCUGUUCUUGGUAUGAAGAGUGAUUUUGAAUGACAUGAACAUUUAAAAAUUAUUUUAUGGGACUCUGGAUCUUAUUUAUUUAUGUAUUGCUUGACGUGGGAUCCCAAGUCCCAGACCGGGGGAUCCAGUUGGGAUGCAGCAGUGAAUGCGCUGAAUCCUAGCCACUAGACCACCAGGGAACUCCCUAUGGAUGUUAUUUAAGCCUUCUGUGUCAGCUGGCUUUUCCUGCCACUGCUCUGGCAGGAAAAGGGGAGGUGCUUCCCCUUUCCUGGCAGGUGGAGGUAGAAGUUCAAGUUUCCUCUUCAGCCUCUGUUGACGACUGAGGGCUGAGGGUGGGAGUUCCACUGCCUCACGUGGUCUCCACUGCCACCUCAGCGAUGAUGGCCUGACUGCUGCAGAAGUGAGUGGAAUUCUGACUCUCAAGGACACCACCCCAGCAGGGAGGGGGAGGGAGGCCGAAUUCCUGCCAAUCUGGCUGGAAGUCAGGUUUCCACGUGGUAUCCUGGAGUGGACCCUGCGUGUGGGAGGCCUCAUUACCAGCUGGCUGGGGUGAAAGUCCCCACUCCCUACCUGGCCCUCUCCGCAACCACCCUGGCAGGGAUGUUGAGUGCCUGUGAUUGGCCUGGGGAGAGUGGAAAGCUAGGCUCACCACUUAGCCUUCGCUGGUGUGGGUGUGGGUGGGGCCACAGCUUUUGUGUAAUAUUUGGCUGGAAUCGAGUGGUUCUUUCUGAAGUUUUCUGCCUUGUCAGGCUGCCCCUUUCCUGGGGAGAAAGGCAGGCCUUCGUUGGGGCUGGGUCUGCAGUGUCUCCAGGUUGCGGCCUUCCUUACCUCCAAGCCUGGGACACUCAGGGCAAAAAGAAAAGCCAGGGAAGCCCAUUGCUGUGCUGUUUGUUCCUUGGGUCCUGAGGUCCCUGGCCAUUCUGCCUUCUCUUCACCUUCCUCUUCUUAACAUUUCUUUGUCUGUGGUUUCCAGGGCUUUAGUUGCUGUAUUUAGCAGGAGGAAUAGGAAAAAGCACAUCGACUCUGUUUUCCCAGGAGCAGAGAUCUCUCAGCCAGAAAAGGAGGAUUUACGGGAAAGCUACCGAGGUACGUCAUUCAGUCAAAGGAAUGGUUGGGCAGCCGGCCUGCAGGAGGAGACAGGCACAGCUGGGCCUCAGGAAUUUCUGGAACUGGCGCCGGGGUGCUGGAGGCCCUUGCUUGUCUCGACUCGUCCUCCUCGUGUGCAUCAGUCGCAUUCUCUCUCUCUCUCCACGUGAAAUUCGAGGAAUGAAUGCGGCCACCUCAUGCAUCAAAAUUUCACAUCUCGUGGCUCCUCCAGCAGAAGGAGCCAGACUUCCUGAGCUCCUGUUUGACCAAACGUUCGGGAAGAUCUUCCUUUGGCCCGGCUUGGGCCAGGUGUGCUCCUGGACCCACUGACUCCGGUCGGGUCAGGGAGUGUCUCUAAGGACCUGGCAGCUUCUGGGGGGUCACAAGGAUGCAGAGGAAUGCCUCUCGGCAAAAUGGAGGGUGCUGGAAAGAUAACACGUUGGUUUAUUCUUAUUCACUUGUC